UACGGAGGGUGCAAGCGUUAUCCGGAUUCACUGGGUUUAAAGGGUGCGUAGGUGGGUUGGUAAGUCAGUGGUGAAAUCUCCGAGCUUAACUCGGAAACUGCCAUUGAUACUAUCAAUCUUGAAUAUUGUGGAGGUCAGCGGAAUAUGUCAUGUAGCGGUGAAAUGCUUAGAGAUGACAUAGAACACCAAUUGCGAAGGCAGCUGGCUACACAUAUAUUGACACUGAGGCACGAAAGCGUGGGGAUCAAACAGG
This 253-nucleotide ribosomal RNA is filed under the name uncultured bacterium. Its description in RNAcentral is "partial 16S ribosomal RNA". It matches the Rfam family "Bacterial small subunit ribosomal RNA", at positions 524 to 776 of the family's 1533-position model. The record is from RNAcentral.